This 483-nucleotide ribosomal RNA is filed under the name uncultured bacterium. RNAcentral describes it as "partial 16S ribosomal RNA". It matches the Rfam family "Bacterial small subunit ribosomal RNA", at positions 30 to 507 of the family's 1533-position model. The record is from RNAcentral.
AUUGAACGCUGGCGGCAGGCCUAACACAUGCAAGUCGAGCGGAUGAAGGGAGCUUGCUCCUGGAUUCAGCGGCGGACGGGUGAGUAAUGCCAGGAAUCUGCCUGGUAGUGGGGGAUAACGUCCGGAAACGGGCGCUAAUACCGCAUACGUCCUGAGGGAGGAAGGUGGGGAUCUUUGGACCUCACGCUAUCAGAUGAGCCCAGGUCGGAUUAGCUAGUUGGUGGGGUAAAGGCCUACCAAGGCGACGAUCCGUAACUGGUCUGAGAGGAUGAUCAGUCACACUGGAACUGAGACACGGUCCAGACUCCUACGGGAGGCAGCAGUGGGGAAUAUUGGACAAUGGGCGAAAGCCUGAUCCAGCCAUGCCGCGUGUGUGAAGAAGGUCUUCGGAUUGUAAAGCACUUUAAGUUGGGAGGAAGGGCAGUAAGUUAAUACCUUGCUGUUUUGACGUUACCAACAGAAUAAGCACCGGCUAACUUCGUG